GACGAACGCUGGCGGCGUGCUUAACACAUGCAAGUCGAACGGUGAAGCUCCAGCUUGCUGGAGUGGAUCAGUGGCGAACGGGUGAGUAACACGUGAGCAACCUGCCCCUGACUCUGGAAUAAGCGCUGGAAACGGCGUCUAAUACUGGAUACGAGAAGGGUCCGCAUGGGCACUUUCUGGAAAGUUUUUCGGUUGGGGAUGGGCUCGCGGCCUAUCAGCUUGUUGGUGAGGUAAUGGCUCACCAAGGCGACGACGGGUAGCCGGCCUGAGAGGGCGAGCGACCACACUGGGACUGAGACACGGCCAAGACUCCUACGGGAGGCAGCAGUGGGGAAUAUUGCACGAGGGGCGAGAGCCUGAUGCAGAGACGCCGCGUGAGGGAGGACGGCCUUCGGGUUGUAAACCUCUUUCAGCAGGGAAGAAGCGAAAGUGACGGUACCUGCAGAAGAAGCACCGGCUAACUACGUG
RNAcentral lists this ribosomal RNA (468 nucleotides) under uncultured bacterium. Its description in RNAcentral is "partial 16S ribosomal RNA". It matches the Rfam family "Bacterial small subunit ribosomal RNA", at positions 28 to 507 of the family's 1533-position model. The record is from RNAcentral.